AUUGAACGCUGGCGGCAUGCUUUACACAUGCAAGUCGAACGGUAACAGGCCGCAAGGUGCUGACGAGUGGCGAACGGGUGAGUAAUGCAUCGGAACGUGCCCAGUCGUGGGGGAUAACUACUCGAAAGAGUAGCUAAUACCGCAUACGAUCUAUGGAUGAAAGCGGGGGACCGUAAGGCCUCGCGCGAUUGGAGCGGCCGAUGUCCGAUUAGGUAGUUGGUGGGGUAAAGGCUCACCAAGCCAACGAUCUGUAGCUGUUCUGAGAGGACGACCAGCCACACUGGGACUGAGACACGGCCCAGACUCCUACGGGAGGCAGCAGUGGGGAAUUUUGGACAAUGGGCGCAAGCCUGAUCCAGCAAUGCCGCGUGCAGGAAGAAGGCCUUCGGGUUGUAAACUGCUUUUGUACGGAACGAAACGGCUCUGGUUAAUACCCGGGGCUAAUGACGGUACCGUAAGAAUAAGCACCGGCUAACUACGUG
Molecule: ribosomal RNA, 482 nt
Filed under: uncultured bacterium
Lineage: Bacteria
Description: partial 16S ribosomal RNA
Rfam family: Bacterial small subunit ribosomal RNA
Source: RNAcentral